RNAcentral lists this ribosomal RNA (739 nucleotides) under uncultured Planctomycetales bacterium. RNAcentral's name for it is "bacterial SSU rRNA". It matches the Rfam family "Bacterial small subunit ribosomal RNA", at positions 8 to 742 of the family's 1533-position model. Lineage: Bacteria; Pseudomonadati; Planctomycetota; Planctomycetia; Planctomycetales. The record is from RNAcentral.
ANAGUUUGAUUCUGGCUCAGAACGAACGCUGGCGGCGUGGCUAAGGCAUGCAAGUCGAACGGACAUAUGGGAAAGGAAACUGGAACAUAUGUUAGUGGCGAACGGGUGAGGAAUACAUGGAUAACGUACCCUGGACUCGGGGAUAGCGGCGGAACUUCGGUUCCUUUGCGAAAGCGCCGGUAAUACCCGAUGAUCCCAUCGUGUCGCAUGAUGCGGUGGGCAAAGCUCAGGCGGUCUGGGAGCGGUUCAUGCCCUAUCAGCUUGUUGGUGAGGUAACGGCUCACCAAGGCUGCGACGGGUAUCGGGCGUGAGAGCGUGGCCCGACACAUCGGAACUGAGAUACGGUCCGGACACCUACGGGUGGCUGCAGCAACGAAUAUUCCGCAAUGGACGCAAGUCUGACGGAGCGACGCCGCGUGCAGGAAGAAGUCCUUCGGGAUGUAAACUGCUGUCAGGGGUUAGAAAGUUUGAUCAGCCCCAAAGGAAGCACUGGCUAACUCCGUGCCAGCAGCCGCGGUAAUACGGAGAGUGCAAGCGUUGUUCGGAAUCAUUGGGCUUAAAGCGCGUGUAGGCUGGGCACAAGGUGCCGUGUGAAAGCCCCGGGCUCAACCCGGGAAUGGCACGGCAAACCGGUGCUCUUGAGGCGGGCAGAGGUGACUGGAACGACUGGUGGAGCGGUGAAAUGCGUAGAUAUCAGUUGGAACGCCGGAGGCGAAAGCGAGUCACUGGGCCUGUCCUG